UUUUUAAACAUGUUAGUUGCACCAUUAGGGUGCACAAGAAGCCACAUACUGAGCUGUAGCCGAGGUGAAAUUGCUGCUGGAGGCGCUCUGCGUCCCUCUUUUUUGAAAAUUGUGUAAAAAAUCUAUAUAAUUGAAUCAAUAUAAGAUAGAUCAGAAGACUGGCAUUCACCUACAGGAAUUGCUUGGACUCUACCCUGGAUGAUUUUUACAUUUAUUUGUUGUAUGAACUCUCUGAGCACGGGCUAUUAGUUCUUACAGCAUUCUGGUUUGGAUGUAACUGGUUUUGCAUGGAAAUUUAACUUCCCCAGAUAAACCAAAGCCUCCUGGAAAAUGAGACCAACCUUCAGCUAACCUGACUGAUUUGUGGACGAAGUCGAAUGUGGAAAAACAAGUACAUAAUUAAUUCAGUAGCAGAUAUGUAUUUUAUACCUUGCUUGUAUUUUUAACUGAUACAGUGGGACAUUUGUUCUUUGAAUGAGAUAAUGCCCUUUGAACUAAAUAUAAUGUAUUCUUGCCUAAAUCCAGAUUUUGAUUAUUGUAAAGGUCAUUUGCACAGUACAUCUGUGCACACCUGCAAAAGUGUAGGACAGAAACAAACUACUGAAGUUGAUGUAUUAACCAAUAAAAUGUAAAUCACUGUAGUUAAUGUAUAAACCAGAAGAAUGAAUUAAGACGUCCAGUUUUCUAUGGGAGGCUUCUUUGAUUGCAAGACUUAUAAAUUAUUGUGUAUUUGGCUUCUUCCCCAGAAAAAAAACUGAAUUGUUUCUCCCCGGUUCACUGCAUUAAAGCUUUAUGUUUUCCUUCCAGA
This is a long non-coding RNA of Heteronotia binoei (common prickly gecko), 808 nucleotides long. RefSeq lists it as uncharacterized. The transcript is spliced from 3 exons. The record is from RefSeq and is a predicted model, not a curated record. Lineage: Eukaryota; Metazoa; Chordata; Lepidosauria; Squamata; Gekkonidae.